UCGCUCUGGGCAAAAGAUGUGGAAUUCUUCUUGCUAGUGAUGAUCAAUGCGAUACUCCACUUCAACUUAAGAAGCUGGAACAGCUCCACUGCAAACUGGACCAUGACAAUCCCCUGUUGAUCCCGAGUGUUGUGUGACAGUAUUUUGACAGUUGUAUGUUGCGUUCUUUUGUGUGGCUUUCUUCUUCUUUAUGGCUUAUAUCUCUUGGAUGUCAUGGAUGAUUUUGAUCCCACCAGUAUAUCACACCUGCUGCUGGUGUUUUUGUACUGCACCCAUGAAAUGGUUAAUGCAAUCUGCUUUCUACUACAAC
This 310-nucleotide long non-coding RNA is filed under the name Elaeis guineensis (African oil palm). RNAcentral's name for it is "long non-coding RNA (EGUI_LNC031024)". The record is from RNAcentral. Lineage: Eukaryota; Viridiplantae; Streptophyta; Magnoliopsida; Arecales; Arecaceae.